Molecule: long non-coding RNA, 6263 nt
Filed under: Homo sapiens (human)
Lineage: Eukaryota; Metazoa; Chordata; Mammalia; Primates; Hominidae
Description: non-protein coding lnc-SPATA32-2:3
Source: RNAcentral
ACUCACCAGGGCGCGGUUGAACCUCUCCUCCAGCUCUCCGGCCGCGGGCAUCGGCUGCUUGGGAGGCGCGGGCUGCUUGGGGGGCGGCGCGGCGGGGCCCGCGGGCUGCUCGGCGCUGCCGGCCGCGUUGCCCAUGGUGGUCCCCACCCAGCCGGCCAGGCGCCUCCAGCCUCGGAAAUCCAGCUUUCCGGGGGACGGGGACGAGGCUCCCGGCCCGGGCGGGGGCGAGGGGGCAGCGGCUGGCGGUGGCGGCGGGGGUCUCGGCAGCGGGGGGCGCUCGGCUCAGCGGCGCGCAGGGGCCGGAGCGCGGCGUCCCAUCGGGGCGGCCCCGUCCGUGGGACCGGGCGGCGAGCUGCAGGGUUGGGGGAGGAAGUCAGGCUGCAGGCCGCCGGGGCCAGAGGGCUGGGCCGGGGGCAGGAAGCUGCGGCGCUGGCUCCCCCCUCGGCGAUUUUCGAACUUCUGCUGUCGCUCCCCGUGCGCGCAAACCGCAGUUCGCCGCCGCCGCCGCCGGGCACCCAGCCCCAGGGGGGCGGGCUGGAGGGAGGGGGCGGGCGCUGGCCGGGGGACCCCCGCAACCAUGGCGGGCGGGGAGUGGGCUGCCGAGCCGCUUCACCUGCCGCAGAGGGGGCGGCCGGCGCCGCUUCACCUGCCGGAGCGGGAGGCCACCGAGGCGAGGCCGAGGCGGCGGCGCGCUCGGCGGCGCCUCCGGGUCCUAGAACCGCAUCCUCCCGCUCGCCUCGGGCGAGGGAUUGGCCGGGUCUGGGUGAAGGGGAUCACGGCCUGGGGAUUGGAGGGGCACAUCUUCUCCGCACCGAGGAUCUCAGCGACUGCGAGCACGGCUCGGAGACCCACGGUGGUGCAGCGUUGGGGCGCCAGGGCUGCGUUCCCGUCUCGCGUCCCGGACUGAGAAGAGCCACUGACAAGACUUUAAGCAAGAGACGGAGAGUUAACAUCUAAUCUGGAGGAAGACCCUGGAAGGAGCCAGCCCCUUCCCCCAGGCUGACCUGGUUUAAGCCUUUCUUCUGCCAAGGUCACCAGCACCCCAGAUGGGUGAGAGAUGUGAUCACUGGUUUCGUGGCCUGACCAAGGACCUCCAAGGAGGUAUCUUUCCCAUCUUGGCCCACAGAGGAGGAAAUCCUAGAAGGGAUGACUGAAGCUUGGGACUAACACAUUGGUGGAUCUGUGCUACCCCCUGCUGGCCGUAGACGGUAUGACAGCCAAGAUAGGGCAAGGCUUCGAGGGGCGAUGGAUGGAUUCACCGCAGCGGCGACAUUUCUGGACUGUUGUCACCUUCAGUGCAGUCACUGGGAAUAUUCAGAACCCAGGUGAUUGAUAAGGUUUUCCCAGGGAUCUCUUCUCUCCCCUUCACCAUUACUCAGUAGGAGCUUCCUUAAAAACGGAAAACGAGAGGCCGGGCGCGGUGGCUCACGCCUGUAAUCCCAGCACUUUGGGAGGCGGAGGCGGGCGGAUCACGAGGUCAGGAGAUCGAGACCAUCCUGGCUAACACAACCCCGUCUCUACUUAAAAUACAAAAAAUUAGCCGGGCGUGGUGGCACGCGCCUGUAGUUCCAGCUACUCAGGAGGCUGAGGCAGGAGAAUCGCUUGAACCCGGGAGGCAGAGGAGGUUGCAGUGAGCUGAGAUGGCGCCACUGCACUCCAGCCUGGCCGACUGAGACUCCAUCUCAAAAAAAAAAAAAAAAAAAGGAAAAAGGGGCCGGGCGCGGUGGCUCACGUCUAUAAUCCUAGCACUUUGGGAGACCAAGGCGGGCAGAUCACGAGGUCAGGAAUUUGAGACUAGUGUGGCCAACAUGGUGAAACCCCAUCUCUACUAAAAAUACAAAAAAUUAGCCGGGUGUGGUGGCGCAUGCCUGUAAUCCUAGCUACUCGGGAGGCCGAGGCAGGAGAAUCGCUUGAACCCAGGAGGCCGAGGUUGCAGUGAGCCGAGAUCACGCCAUUGCACUCCAGCCUGGGCGACAGAGCAAGACUCCGUCUUGAGGGAAAAAAAAAAAAAAAAGAAAAAGGGGCCAGGCACCUGUAAUCCCAGCACUUUGGGAGGCUGAGGAGGGAAGAUCGCUAAAACCCAGGAGUUCAAGACCAGCCUGGGCAACAUGGUGAGACCCCAUCUCUACAAAAAAUGCAAAAAAAAAAAAAACAAAAACAAAAAAAAAAACAGCUGGGCAUGAUGGUGCGCACCUGUAGUCCCAGCUACUCGGGAGGCUGAGGUGGGAGGAUUAUUUGAGCCUGAGAGGUCAAGGCUGCAGUGAGCCAAGAUCGCAUCACUGCACUCUAGCCUGGGUAACAGAGCAAGACCCUGCCUCAAAAAAAAAAAAAAAAAAGGAAAAAGGUUAUUACACAGUUCAAAAGAGAAACAAAGUGCAAAAGCAUGUGCAAAGAAAGUAAAGUCCCUCCUGGCCAAGUGCGAUGGCUCAAGCCUGUAAUCUCAACACCCUGGGAGGCUGAAGUGGGUAGAUCAUUUGAGGUCUGGAGUUUGAGACCAGCCUGGCCAACAUGGUGAAACCCCGUCUCUACUAAAAAUAUAAAAAUUAGCUUGGCGUAGUGGCGGGUGCCUGUAAUCCCAGGUACUCGGGAGGCUGAGGCAGGAGAAUCACUUGAACUUGGGAGGCGGAGGGUGCCGCGAGCCAAGAUCACGCCAGUGCACUCUAGCCUGGGCAACAGAGCAAGACUCCAUCUCGAAGGAAGGAAGGAAGGAAGGAAGGAAGGAAGGAAGGAAGGAAGGAAGGAAGGAAGGAAGGGGAAAGAAAGGAAAGAUCUCUUGCCAAUCAGCCUCCCUGUUGCCCUGUUUCCCAUUCCCUCCCCAGAGGCAACCACUCUUAACAGUUUUUUUGUUUUUGUUUUUGUUUUUUUUUAGACAGAGUCUCACUCUGUUGCCCAGGCGGCUGGAGUGCAGUGGUGUGAUCUCAGCUCACUGCGACCUCCGCUUCCCAGAUUCAAGCAAUUCUCCUGCCUCAGCCUCCUGAGUAGCUGGGACUACAGGUGUGUGCCACCACGUUCAGCUAAUUUUUGUAUUUUUAGUAGAGACGGGGUUUCACCAUGUUGGCCAGGCUGGUCUUGAACUCCUGACCUCAAGUGAUCCACCCGCCUUGGCCUCCCAAAGUGCUGGGAUUACAGGUGUGAGCCACCGCGCCUGGCCUCUUAACAGUUCUAAUGUAUCUUUGCAGAGCUAUUUGGAGCAUAUGCUGUGUAUAUGUGCGUGUGUGUGUGACACAAAUGAUAGCACACGCUCUACACUGUUCAGCACCUGCUAUUUUCAUGUCAUAAUAUACCUGCCUGUAGAUAGUCAACAUAGUUUUCCAUCGUAUGGUGUGUCACAAUUUAUUUACCAUUCCCCUCCUAGUGGAUAUUUAUGUAUGUCCGCCUUUUAUUACUACAAACAAUGCUAAUUACAGGAAAUAUCUUGGUACAUAUAUUUGCAGACAUAUGUGUGUGUGUGAAAUAAAUUUAUAAGUAUGGCAAUUCUGGGUCAAAGAUUAUGUGCUCUUAAAUGUUUUAUAGGUUUUCACAGAAUUGCCCUCCAAAAAUUUUGUACCAAUUUACAAUCCCCAACAACGGAUGAGAUCACCUGUUUCCCCAAAUCCUCACAAACAGGUUAAUAUCAGGCCUUUUGAUCUUAGGUGAUGACUCUUUAAAAGUCCUGCUCACAGAGCAGUUGAUGAUCUGUCUUUUUCUUUGGGCCGCGGGUUUCUCCAAGGAAGGGACUGUGUCUUUCUCAUACCUACAUCCCCAGUGAAGGACUUGACACCAUCCUUGGGAGUUACUCAAGAAGUGUCUGCUAAAUAUUGAGUGAAAGAAACAGAGCUGCAUUUUGGCAGGCUGGGAGGGAGAGGGUAAAAGGUUAGGUUUGAACAGGAGGCCUGCUUUUUUUUUUUUUUUUUGAGAUGGAGUCUCACUCUGUUGCCCAGGCUGGAGUGCAGUGGCGCGAUCUCAGCUCACUGCAACCUCCAAGGAGGACUGCUCUUUAGGGCCACUUUCUCUUCCAGACCCUGGUCAAGCCUCUGCCCCAAAUCCAAAAGCCUUCCUCUUGCAGGAGCCUCCCAGGUUGCAAGGUCUGAGGUUGAAGGCCCAGAACUCCCAGUGCAGCUUUCACCCAGCUCUGCUGCAUUCCAGGGAUGGGCCCCAUCAUCCCCAAGCUGCCUGAGAACUGGAAACAAACUAGGUGUCCAGCUUUAGGGGAUCAGUUAAACCACUGUCCUAUAGAACUUUCUGCAAUGAUGAAAAUGUUCUCUAUCUGCCCUGUCCAAUAUGGCAGCCACUGGCCACUCGUAGCUACCGAGUAUUCAAGCUGUAGCUAGUUCAACUAAGGAAAUAAAUAAAUGUUACUUAAUUUUAAUUAAUUUCCAUUUAAGUAGCCAUGUGUGGCUACAUAUUGGACAGUGAAGGGUUCAGUAAAUUAUGAUAUAGCCCCACAAUGGAAAACUAUGCAGCUGUAAAAAAAAAAAAUAAUAAGGAUGCCAAGAAAAAUGGAAAGAUCUUCAGGAUAUAUUUUGAAACAAAAAUGUGGUACAGGCUGUGUGCAGUGGCUCACGCCAAUAAUCCCAGCACUUUGGGAGGCCAAGGUGAGAGGCCGAGGCAGGAGGAUCACUUGAGUCCAGGGGUUCAAGACCAGCCUGGUCAACAUAAUGAGACUUCCGUCUCUACAGAAAGUGAAAAAAAAAAAAAAGACAGCAUGGUGGUAUAUGAAUGUAGUCCCAUCUACUCAGGAAGCUGAGGUGGGAGGAUUGCUUGAGCCAGGGAAGUUGAGGCUGCAGUAAGCUGUGAUUGUGCCACCACACUCCAGCCUGUGUGACAGAGCAAGACCCCAUCUAAAAAAAAAAAAAAAGGCCAGGCACGAUGGCUCACACAUGUAAUCCCAGCACUUUGGGAGGCCGAGGACCGUGGAUCACCUGAGGUUGGGAGCUCAAGACCAGCCUGACCAACAUAGAGAAACCUCAUCUCUACUAAAAACACAAAAUUAGCUGGGUGUGGUGGCACAUGCCUAUAAUCCCAGCUACUCAGAAGACUGAGGCAGAAGAACCACUUGAACCCAGGAGGCGGAGGUUGCGGUGAGCCAAGAUAGUGCCAUUGCACUUCAGCCUGGGUAACAAGAGCGAAACUCUGUCUCAAAAAAAAAAAUGUGGUUCAGAACAGUAUACAUAGUAUGUCAUCUUUUUUGAAAGAAAGGCAGGUAGGCCGGGCGCAGUGGCUCACACCUGUAAUCCCAGCACUUUGGGAGGCCGAGGUGGGCGGAUCACGAGGUCAGGAGAUUGAGACCAUCCUGGCUAACGCGGUGAAACCCUGUCUCUACUAAAAAUACAAAAAAUUAGCCGGGCGUAGGUGGUGCACUCCUGUAGUCCCAGCUACUCGGGAGGCUGAGGCAGGAGAAUGGCGUAAAACCCGGGAGGCUGAGCUUGCAGUGAGCCAAGAUCGCGCCACUGUACUUCAGCCUGGGAGACAGAGCGAGAUUCCGUCUCAAAAAAUAAAAAAAAAAGAAAAAGAAAGGCAGGUAGAGGAGGCUGGAUGUGGUGGCUCAUGCCUGUAAUACCAGCACUUUGGGAGGCCAAGGGGGACAGAUCACUUGCAGAAAUGUGAGACCGGCCUGGACAACAUGGUGAAACCCCAUCUCUACACAAAAUACAAAAAUUAGUUGGACGUGGUAGUGCGCACCUGUAGUCCCAGCUACUCAGGAGGCUAAAGUGGGAGGGUUGCUUGAGCUGGGGAAGUCAAGGCUGCAGUGAGCCAAGAUUGCACCACUGCACUCCAGCAGGGGUGACAGAGGGAGACAGCAGGAGUGACAGAGUGAGACCCUGUCUCAAAAAAAAAAAGAAAAGAGCUUUGCACAGUGGUAGUAUCGUAGCCAAUGAAUGAAAGGGAGGUGGAAAUAAAAAUAAAUGUUUAUAUUUGCUUGAAUUUGCAUAGGGAAAGCAAUAACAGUGGGUGACCUAUAGGGAGCUGGGGAAUCCUGUUGCGGGGGUAGGCAAGGACAGGGUGGGAACAGAGCUUUCCAGUGAAUUUCUUUAUAUUUCAUUUUGGUUGUUGAAACAUGUACAUAUAUUACCUAUUCAAAAAGUUAAAUUAAGGUCAGGUGCAGUGGCUCAUGCCCGUAAUCCCAGUACUUUGGGAGGUUGAGGUAGGAGGAUCACUUUACCCCAGGAGUUGGAGACCAGCCUGGGCAAUAUAGUGAGACCUCCUUUCUACAAAAAGUUUACAAAUUAGCCAUAAGCCAGGUGCGGUGGCUCACACCUGUAAUCCCAGCACUUUGGGAGGCG